RNAcentral lists this ribosomal RNA (262 nucleotides) under uncultured bacterium. Its description in RNAcentral is "partial 16S ribosomal RNA". It matches the Rfam family "Bacterial small subunit ribosomal RNA", at positions 524 to 786 of the family's 1533-position model. The record is from RNAcentral.
UACAGAGGGUGCAAGCGUUAAUCGGAAUUACUGGGCGUAAAGCGCGCGUAGGUGGUUAGUUAAGUUGGAUGUGAAAUCCCCGGGCUCAACCUGGGAACUGCAUUCAAACUGACUGACUAGAGUAUGGUAGAGGGUGGUGGAAUUUCCUGUGUAGCGGUGAAAUGCGUAGAUAUAGGAAGGAACACCAGUGGCGAAGGCGACCACCUGGACUGAUACUGACACUGAGGUGCGAAAGCGUGGGGAGCAAAACGGAUUAGAUACC